GUGGGGAAUAUUGGGCAAUGGGGGAAACCCUGACCCAGCAACGCCGCGUGAAGGAAGAAGGUUUUCGGAUCGUAAACUUCUAUCCUUGGUGAAGAUAAUGACGGUAGCCAAGAAGGAAGCCCCGGCUAACUACGUGCCAGCAGCCGCGGUAAUACGUAGGGGGCAAGCGUUGUCCGGAAUGAUUGGGCGUAAAGGGCGCGUAGGCGGCCUGGUAAGUCUGGAGUGAAAGUCCUGCUUUUAAGGUGGGAAUUGCUUUGGAUACUGUCGGGCUUGAGUGCAGGAGAGGUAAGCGGAAUUCCCGGUGUAGCGGUGAAAUGCGUAGAGAUCGGGAGGAACACCAGUGGCGAAGGCGGCUUACUGGACUGUAACUGACGCUGAGGCGCGAAAGUGUGGGGAGCAAACAGGAUUAGAAACCCCAGUAGUCC
RNAcentral lists this ribosomal RNA (425 nucleotides) under uncultured bacterium. RNAcentral describes it as "bacterial SSU rRNA". It matches the Rfam family "Bacterial small subunit ribosomal RNA", at positions 354 to 796 of the family's 1533-position model. The record is from RNAcentral.